GAUGUUGUGGCUCAGUGGUAGAGCAUGUGCCUCACAUGCACAGGGCACUGGGUUCAAUCCUCAGCAUUAUACA
RNAcentral lists this transfer RNA (73 nucleotides) under Marmota monax (woodchuck). Its description in RNAcentral is "tRNA.Val". It matches the Rfam family "tRNA". From Rfam's summary of the family: Transfer RNA (tRNA) molecules are approximately 80 nucleotides in length. Their secondary structure includes four short double-helical elements and three loops (D, anti-codon, and T loops). Further hydrogen bonds mediate the characteristic L-shaped molecular structure. tRNAs have two regions of fundamental functional importance: the anti-codon, which is responsible for specific mRNA codon recognition, and the 3' end, to which the tRNAs corresponding amino acid is attached (by aminoacyl-tRNA synthetases). tRNAs cope with the degeneracy of the genetic code in two manners: having more than one tRNA (with a specific anti-codon) for a particular amino acid; and 'wobble' base-pairing, i.e. permitting non-standard base-pairing at the 3rd anti-codon position. Lineage: Eukaryota; Metazoa; Chordata; Mammalia; Rodentia; Sciuridae. The record is from RNAcentral.